Molecule: unclassified non-coding RNA, 401 nt
Filed under: fungal sp.
Lineage: Eukaryota; Fungi
Description: partial internal transcribed spacer region
Rfam family: Eukaryotic small subunit ribosomal RNA (bases 1-46)
Source: RNAcentral
AAGUCGUAACAAGGUUUCCGUAGGUGAACCUGCGGAAGGAUCAUUAACACGUAUCCAAACGUUAAACCCCCCUGUGAACCUUCAGUCGUACUCGUACGUCCGUUAGAAAAAGCAGCAAUCCCUGGUAAAUCAUCGCCGAACAGUUUUCGAUUCAGGGACGUCUGCAAGGACCCCAAGCAGUUAGUGUCUGAAAGUGUCACUAACGUUAGUGUCUGAAAGUGUCACUAACAUGUGUAAGGAUGACGCAGUCACGAUCGUUGGAGGCCCACACGGCCGACGACCGGGUCACCGGGUGCAAGCCCCCUUAUCACACCCCUGCUCUAUCUAUGGUGAUCCUGCGGGAAGUCCUGCGGUCGAACGCCGAAACCGAACAACUGUUAACAAUGGAUAUCUUGGUUCUC